GCACGAACCAGGUACAAGUCCCUCUUUAAGAAUUCAAAAAAUCCUCUACAAACACACACUUGGUUCUCUAGAGCCACCUGUCGGCGGGACUUUGACUUGUGCCUCGUCCUUCGUCCCGCUCGCACACCGCGGAGGCGCGCAGAAACCGGAAAGCCUGUCCAGAGAACCAUACACUCUCAGGAAUACCACCCCCACCACCACCGGAGGAGGAGGAGGAGGACUGGGAAAAGGAGAGCCAAGAGGUCACGCUGAUUGACUGGGAAAAUAACUGUUUUGGCAUCAAUCCCUACGGUCCACAGGAUGUGAUCCAUUUUUCCUUGCGGUAUUCACCCUUCCAGCGAAGGCACGAAGUCGUCCCACUAUUGAUGGCUGGUUACAGCCCGGAGGUGCACCACCCGCAGCCCGUCCGUUGGAGGCACUACGGCACCCCCACCGAGCAAGGGCAGUUUGCAGACGCUGACCACUAGGCCAGGCGUGUGCGGCUGUGUGACCGGGUCGGUAGAAAAAGUUCUGGAGUUUUCUUAUUGGUUAGAAUCACUGCAACAGCUUCAGUCCAAUAAUAAUAAUAAUAAUUGCGUUCAGUUGUUUUAUUUAUUUUUUGUUUUAUAUCUAUAUUUUAUAUUUAGGUUAAAUGGUAAGCUAUUCAUUUUUUUAUCUUAAGGAAUGAUUUUAGAUGAUCUGCUAUACUUUGCUGUUGUACCGCAUACAUUUACGGUUCUUUCCAUGUCUUCAUAACUUUGGCUAGAAUUCCAGGAAACUGAAGGAAUACCCUUUUAUUGUCAUGUUUACCCUUUGUUUUAAAAUGCCUCUAGUAGGAACAAUGUUGUCAUAGUUCAUUAUCAAUGUUUGUUCAUCAGAUUUGUGAGUAGAUGAAGAAACGAUUUUGAUUUGGGGUCACCCAACUCGACCACGAAAUUUGGUUUGGAUGCUGUAUCAACAAGUUGUGAUCUGACCUUUCACAGUUGCAAUAAAUCCAAUUUUCUUCACUAAAUCCUGCUGCUUUUCACUUGAUGGGA
Molecule: long non-coding RNA, 1016 nt
Organism: Gasterosteus aculeatus aculeatus (three-spined stickleback)
Lineage: Eukaryota; Metazoa; Chordata; Actinopteri; Perciformes; Gasterosteidae
Source: Ensembl